This 500-nucleotide ribosomal RNA is filed under the name uncultured bacterium. RNAcentral's name for it is "partial 16S ribosomal RNA". It matches the Rfam family "Bacterial small subunit ribosomal RNA", at positions 30 to 523 of the family's 1533-position model. The record is from RNAcentral.
AUUGAACGCUGGCGGAAUGCUUUACACAUGCAAGUCGAACGGCAGCACGGACUUCGGUCUGGUGGCGAGUGGCGAACGGGUGAGUAAUAUAUCGGAACGUGCCCAGUCGUGGGGGAUAACGUAGUGAAAAUUACGCUAAUACCGCAUACGAUCUACGGAUGAAAGCGGGGGAUCGCAAGACCUCGCGCGAUUGGAGCGGCCGAUAUCAGAUUAGGUAGUUGGUGGGGUAAAGGCUCACCAAGCCAACGAUCUGUAGCUGGUCUGAGAGGACGACCAGCCACACUGGGACUGAGACACGGCCCAGACUCCUACGGGAGGCAGCAGUGGGGAAUUUUGGACAAUGGACGCAGGUCUGAUCCAGCCAUGCCGCGUGCGGGAAGAAGGCCUUCGGGUUGUAAACCGCUUUUGUCAGGGAAGAAACGCUCUGGGUUAAUACCUCGGGGUAAUGACGGUACCUGAAGAAUAAGCACCGGCUAACUACGUGCCAGCCGCCGCGGUAA